RNAcentral lists this ribosomal RNA (207 nucleotides) under uncultured bacterium. RNAcentral's name for it is "partial 16S ribosomal RNA". It matches the Rfam family "Bacterial small subunit ribosomal RNA", at positions 568 to 774 of the family's 1533-position model. The record is from RNAcentral.
UGCGUAGGCGGGCUUGUGCGUCAGGGGUUAAAUCCCACGGCUUAACUGUGGAGCUGCCCUUGAUACGGCAAGUCUUGAGUGUGAGAGAGGAUGGUAGAAUUCCUGGUGUAGCGGUGAAAUGCGUAGAUAUCAGGAGGAAUACCAGUGGCGAAGGCGGCCAUCUGGCUCACUACUGACGCUGAGGCACGAAAGCGUGGGGAGCAAACA